UCCACGUGCGAAAGCCUGAGACUCGUGGAGUCGGGAACGCAGCAGGUUGCCUGAGUCACCAGAAUGCAGUAAUGAAGCCAGGUUUCAGCACCCGUGGGGGCGGCUUUGGUGGAGGAGGCAGAGGAGGCCAAAGUGGCCGAGGAGGCUUUGGCGGUUGAGGUUGAGGCAGAGGGGGUGGUGGCUUCAGGGGACAAGGAGGUGGAAGUGGCAGAGGUGGAGGCUUCCGGUCUGGGGGCAGCCAGGGUCGAGGUGGUGGCCAGGGAAGCAAGAGAGGAAAUCAGUCAGGGAAGAAUGUGAUGGUGGAGCCGCAUCAGCAUGAAGGUAUCUUUAUCUGUCGCGGAAAGGAGGAUGCCCUUGUCACAAAGAAUCUGGUCCCUGGAGAGUCUGUGUAUGGAGAGAAGAGAGUCUCUAUUUCAGAAGGAGAUGACAGAAUUGAGUACCAAACCUGGAACCCCUUCCACUCCAAACUGGCAGCAGCAGUCCUUGGCGGCGUAGACCAGAUCCACAUCAAGUGGGGGGCCAAGGUGCUCUACCUUGGGACAGCCUCAGGCACCACCAUCUCCCAUGUCUCUGAUAUUGUUGGCUGGGAUGGUCUGGUCUACGCAGUUGAGUUCUCCCACCACUCUGGCUUGACCUCAUCAACUUGGCCAAGAAGAGGACCAACAUUAUUCCUCGAAUUGAAGAUGCUCGACACCCACACAAAUACCACAUGCUUAUCACAAUGGUGGAUGUCAUCUUUGCCGACGUGGCCCAGCCAGACCAAACCCGGAUUGUGACCCUGAAUGCCCACACCUUCCUGCGGAAUGGAGGACACUUUGUGAUUUCCAUUAAGGCCAACGGCAUUGACCCCACAGCCUCAGCAGAAGCUGUGUUUGCAUCUGAAGUGAAGAAGAUGCAGCAAGAGACCAUGAAGCCCCAGGAGCUGCUGACGCUAGAGCCUUAUGAAUGAAACCAAGCUGUGGUUGUGGGUGUGUACAGGCCAUCUCCCAAGGCAAAGAACUGAAACUCAGAGCUGUCUGGAUUGAAGAAAUGUGUGUUGUUACUGUUGCACAUGUGGCUUUUGAUUUUUUGGGGGAUGGGGAGUUGUUUUGUUUUUCUACUAAAAGACUCACCUGUC
Molecule: RNA transcript, 1117 nt
Organism: Mus musculus (house mouse)
Lineage: Eukaryota; Metazoa; Chordata; Mammalia; Rodentia; Muridae
Gene name: predicted gene 6211
Exons: 1
Source: RefSeq, marked validated